GACGAACGCUGGCGGCGUGCUUAACACAUGCAAGUCGAACGGAAAGGCCCUGCUUUUGUGGGGUGCUCGAGUGGCGAACGGGUGAGUAACACGUGAGUAACCUGCCCUUGACUUUGGGAUAACUUCAGGAAACUGGGGCUAAUACCGGAUAGGAGCUCCUGCUGCAUGGUGGGGGUUGGAAAGUUUCGGCGGUUGGGGAUGGACUCGCGGCUUAUCAGCUUGUUGGUAGGGUAGUGGCUUACCAAGGCUUUGACGGGUAGCCGGCCUGAGAGGGUGACCGGCCACAUUGGGACUGAGAUACGGCCCAGACUCCUACGGGAGGCAGCAGUGGGGAAUAUUGCACAAUGGGCGGAAGCCUGAUGCAGCAACGCCGCGUGCGGGAUGACGGCCUUCGGGUGGUAAACCGCUUUCGCCUGUGACGAAGCGUGAGUGACGGGAAUGGGUAAAGAAGCACCGGCUAACUACGU
This 467-nucleotide ribosomal RNA is filed under the name uncultured bacterium. RNAcentral describes it as "partial 16S ribosomal RNA". It matches the Rfam family "Bacterial small subunit ribosomal RNA", at positions 28 to 506 of the family's 1533-position model. The record is from RNAcentral.